This 481-nucleotide ribosomal RNA is filed under the name uncultured bacterium. RNAcentral describes it as "partial 16S ribosomal RNA". It matches the Rfam family "Bacterial small subunit ribosomal RNA", at positions 30 to 506 of the family's 1533-position model. The record is from RNAcentral.
AUUGAACGCUGGCGGCAUGCCUUACACAUGCAAGUCGAACGGUAACAGGUCUUCGGAUGCUGACGAGUGGCGAACGGGUGAGUAAUACAUCGGAACGUGCCCGAUCGUGGGGGAUAACGAAGCGAAAGCUUUGCUAAUACCGCAUACGAUCUACGGAUGAAAGCAGGGGACCGCAAGGCCUUGCGCGAACGGAGCGGCCGAUGGCAGAUUAGGUAGUUGGUGGGAUAAAAGCUUACCAAGCCGACGAUCUGUAGCUGGUCUGAGAGGACGACCAGCCACACUGGGACUGAGACACGGCCCAGACUCCUACGGGGGGCAGCAGUGGGGAAUUUUGGACAAUGGGCGAAAGCCUGAUCCAGCCAUGCCGCGUGCAGGAUGAAGGCCUUCGGGUUGUAAACUGCUUUUGUACGGAACGAAAAGACUCUGGUUAAUACCUGGGGUCCAUGACGGUACCGUAAGAAUAAGCACCGGCUAACUACGU